This 2842-nucleotide long non-coding RNA is filed under the name Gossypium barbadense (sea-island cotton). RNAcentral's name for it is "long non-coding RNA (GBAR_LNC010348)". The record is from RNAcentral. Lineage: Eukaryota; Viridiplantae; Streptophyta; Magnoliopsida; Malvales; Malvaceae.
CGAGUCCCUCGCAGCUCCAAACCAUCUAAGCUUAGGGAUUACCUGCACAGUUAGAAACAAGGUGAGUUUACAAAAAGUCAGUGUGUAAUUCCAAUAUCAAACAAACAGUGAAUAACACAAUAUCAGUACAGGCUGGGCCAAAGCCCUAUUCAGUAUCAGUAUAGUCUGGGCCAAAGCCCUAUUCAGUAUCAGUACAGUGCAAAAUGCAACCCAUCCCAUAACCAUCCACCACACCACCUGUACUAAUCAGUACACCUACGGGGAUAUCAAUCGACCCACCCAACUAGCAUACCAAUAUCGCAGCAAAGCUGCCAGUAGUAAUAAUAAUGCAGCAUAGCUGCCAGUAACAGUAAGUGUGGCAAGCCACUAGUAAAAUAUAAAUGUGACAAAGUCACCAAUACAGUACUUCCUCCAUAUCAUAAGCCCAACCCCAUGCAGAUGUCGUGUCAUAAAUAAUACGUGCAUGCAGUAUGUCAUACUCAAAACCAGUCAUUUAAAAGUAUUACACACAUCAUUUAACCUACCACUAGCGUUAUAAAGGUUAUAUCAUCAGUUAGGGGUAAAACAUUAAUUAUUACCCUUCAGGGGUGUUUCGGUCAUUUAACAGAUUUUAAAGUCUCAGUACAGAUAACGACCUCAACGAAGGUCUACAGUCACCUCGAGUGACUCAGAUAACCCAUUCAGGUGAAACGGUGUAAUGGGCCCCUAGCCCAACAUUCGACCCAAGUGGGCCCACAGGCUCGUGUGGCCCGUUAGCCUAAUUCUAGCCAUGGCUAUGUGAAUUCCAUAGCCCAGUCCAAUAUUUAUCAUCUUUCAUGAAUUUUAAUCUGCAUGGGCCCAUAAGCCCAUUGGGCCCAUACGGCCCAUUUCGGCCCAUAUAGGCCCACAAUAGCCCAAGCCCGCGAAAGCGCUCGCGGUGGCCUCUACAGUCUGUCGCCCAGGAUUUGUGGCUCGAUUGACCUUGCGAGCGUUCACGCGCUCGUGCGGUCGCAAAUGCCGAAGUUUCGACUUUUCAGCUCUUCGACUUUUGCCGAUUCACAGUUACGCAGUGUGUGAGUACACACCCUUUUGGCUUUUGAUCAGUAAUAGAGUGGUGUACAGUUACACACCUUUUUUGGAAAGAAAGACGUCGAACCCUGCGCGCUCAACCUAAAUCCAAAACAAUAAACCUUAGCCAGUUCUCCAACGCUUGGGUUAACCCCCAAAUAUGUACUCACAAAUUCCCAACAAUAUGCAUCGCUUACCUUGCUAAGACCAAUGGGGCUUAAACCACCCUUAUCCAACGAUUACCCUUCUAUAAACCAUAAUCUGCAUCAACAACCCAUUUAUUCAGUAACUUCAUAAUAUUUUACUAAAACUAAGUGCACCUCUUACUAAGACGUGAACUACAAACGCAAAACAAAAGAAUUCGGCCCACCCCCUUGAGUAACGUCACAACCCUCUAGCACCAUUUGAACGUGAUAGAAACAUUAGAUGAGCCUAUCCUCACGACGGUUAAGAGGAUUUGGCUCAAGAAUACCCAAAUCGAACAUGAACACAAAAGGAGCCUUCUACCAUUCGGCCAGAGAAAACACUUACCUUCAAUUAACAGAGAUUAAGAAUCGAUUAGGCCUCCACUGCUUCGGUCACACAGGAAGAGAAGCAAGCGGCUAACUUCAAGAGAGAAAGAAACAAAGAAAAGGACAAAGGAGGAGUUGGGUUCAGUUUCUUCGACUUUAGAAACAAGAGAAAAGAUGUUCAAGACAACAAAAGGAAAAAGGCUACCAAUGUUCUGCUAAAGAGAAUUCGGCAGGCUUGACUCAAAGACGAAAAGAGAAGAAAUUGAGAAGAGGUAAGAGUCACAAUCAAUUCGGCACAAAAGGGUAACACAAAAAUACCAAAAGUUGCAAAGAAGGAUUCGACACCUACUCCUAAACAUCAAUUGCCGAAAAUGCCUAACCCAAAACCCCUUGGCCAAAUUUACACCCUCACACACACCCAUUCGGCUACAACUCCUCCCCAAUUCAAAUUCCAUGAUAAUCUCCACGAUUUUCUCCCCUUAUCCCUCCUUGAAAUCCUCUUCAACAACCCUUAAGACCAAUUCAAACCCUUCAUCCUCAGUGUUCGACUCCAACACUAACUCUUGCUGCCCCCUCCUAGAAAAAUAAAUACUUCUUUGCUUGUCAUAGGAUUCGAACUCAUGCCCUCCUUAGAUGCUCCACACGCCACUUGCCACUAAGCCACAAGGCUUCUUAUGUCAUCAACCAACCACGAUUAUUUAUAAGACACAAAUGCCAAUAACCAGGUUCAUUUAAGAGAAAAACAAAAAUGCUGCAAAAACCGAAGCUUAACCCACAGGACUCCUCAGACCCCCAAACACACCCAAAUCAACUAACCAUUAAAGCAAACAGGAAAUUUGUGCUAAAAUCGGCAAAAUUACAAACCCUAAAUUUUUAAGGCGUUACAGAUGGCAUGGAAGUCCAUGCUCUACAAAAUAUAUUUCUUAAACAUUUUAAAAACACAUUUGUUUUCCAUGAAAUCAGAUGCCUGGUUAUAUGACAAAUUCAGAGAUACAAUUUAACAUAAUCAUACAUUUUACAAACUUAUACAGACAUAGCGAACCAAAACAUACCAUCAAAACUACUAGUACCAUAACAUGCAAAUAUACAUAUUACAAAUACCUUAAACACUUCAACAUGUACCUUGUUUUCAUAUGGACCUUACGGAGAGGCUAAAUACAGUUCACGAAACAAAAUGAGCCAAAAUGGUAAUUUUAAGCGAAUAGCCCCACCUGACCAAAAAAUCCCAAAUUGUGUGGCAUUGACAGUCCCAAUUUUGACUUUUCGUCGAAUGUUGAUUUCUC